GCUGGGCGUGGUGGUGCAUACCUGUAAUCCCCAGCUUGGGAGGCUGAGGCAGGAGACUUGCAAGUUCAAAUCCAGUCUCAGCAACAGCAAGGUGCUAAACAAAUCAUCGAGACCCUGUCUCUA
Molecule: small RNA, 123 nt
Filed under: Marmota monax (woodchuck)
Lineage: Eukaryota; Metazoa; Chordata; Mammalia; Rodentia; Sciuridae
Source: RNAcentral